Molecule: long non-coding RNA, 2822 nt
Organism: Strigops habroptila (Kakapo)
Lineage: Eukaryota; Metazoa; Chordata; Aves; Psittaciformes; Psittacidae
Exons: 6
Source: RefSeq, a predicted model, not a curated record
CUGAGCCAUAAGUGUGGUGACAAGGAGAUGCAUUCUCGUACCUAUGGUACCCGUGCUGGUCACCAGGAUGCAGCGUUAACCUACUUGGGAGAAAAGGGAUGAUUCCCUCACGUCCAGGCACAGGUGAAAUGUGACCCCUGUGUUUGUGCAGCGUUACUGAGCUGUGGCAUUGUUAGUCCUCACAUCUAGGCACCACGUUGUUCUCUUCCAAGCAGGCAUAGAUGGGAGACAUGUGGGAGGAAAAGGGAGGUGAAUUUAAUUUUUCAUUUAUUUUACUAGAGGAUUCCCCCACCUGCAAAGCUCCUUCUCUGAAUGUGGGAAAUCCCUGUUUUCCUCCUGUUCUCCUCGCUCUCCCAUUGCAGCAGCUUUGUCUCCAGGAGACGGCCAGCUUAUCUUCCGAAGUCACCCCCUUUGCAAGCCAGUGGAGGUACUGAAAGGGUUAUUGUCAACUUCUCCCCACAGCUGAAAGUGGCUGCUCCAGUUGGGCAUGUAGUUUUUUAAACAGGGCUCGGAGUAACGUGAGUUUCUAGGCCGAGAAUAUAGUAAACAAUUUACUAAGAAUAAAGUCAGGGUGUGCCCAGGAAAAUGUGUUCCAUCAUCCCUUAUUUUCAGUGAGCUGUAAGUAAACAGUAUGGGAUAAUGCCAUGCUACAUAACAUAAGCUGUCACAAGCUCCUGCCCGAGUGGACAAGGUCCAACUGCCUGGGAAACCUGAACAUUCCCAGUUAGCAAACCUUUCUGAAAAAGGGAAUUGCAAAAAGUUUUCUUUUUUCUCUGAGAAUUCAAUUGUUCUAAAAAAAUGAUGCAUUUUCAAAAUGAGUGCCUGGUUGAAGGAAAAAAAAAUGGAAAGCGGUGGGAAACUGCCAUGGAGAAAUUACAUCUACUUUUUACAGGACGUGAUUCUUCCAUUUUUCCUCCUUGAAUUAUCUAUCCUCACGUGAACAGCUCUACCAGAUCGGUGUGGGAGGCAGAAAGCACUGCCUGGGAGUCAGGGCCCACAGCACCCCUGAGCUUACAGCUUUCCUGAAGCAAAUACGGUUAUUUUCCAAAAGAGGAAUUGGGACAAGCAGUGAAAAAACACGUGCUAUUGUGCAGCUCGUCGUGUUACAGUCCCACCUGGAUGGAUGUAAGUCAGUGCCUAUGUUGGUGUCCACCCUCAGUGCAAGAAAAAGGAGGGAAAGAAGGAAGCGGCCUAGGAGACAGCGUGUUUGGUCUUGUGCUGAGUGAGUGGCAGAUAGUGUCCACUCAGGAAGAAAUGCCAGCAUUUCCUGGGAGAGGAGUAAAGGUGAAAAAGGCCAGUUAUUGGGAGAAUUGGCCAGCAGCCGUGACACUAUCAGUUAUUUCACCUCAACGUGCAGAAUAUAUAGUCAGCAGUAUUUAACGAGUUAAGAAGCCAAAAAAAAAAAAGAGAGAUGAAUUAGCAGAGUGACAUGUAGGCUUUAAAAAAAACGGUCCACUGUUGGUUCCCAGACUCACCCUCAUCAGAGCAACGCUUCUCAGUCACCCUCCUUACCCUCAUGGGAACAUCUGCUGGGGAAGCAUGAUACGGCACAGAGUCUCCCAGAUUUUCACCCACCUCUAUGGACACCUGUCCCUGGAAAGGGUCCACAGCUGAUUCCACUGCUACACUGCUCCUCCCGCCUUGUUUCCUAUGAUGCACCAGAUGAGUGCUCCUGGGGAGUACAGAAGGUGAAAAUUGGGAGGCAGAGCAGAAGGCAGAGGAAUGAACCUGAGUCUGAGCAGCAGACGUGACCACUAGGUGGGCUGGCCACUGUCUUUUGGCACUUGGAUGAUCACAAAGUUCAUCACGGAGCAAAGAAAGGAGAUGUCAGGGCCUGUCAAUGGAGUGUGUCAGAGCCCCUGUUCAGGACAGCAGGACGCGGUCCAAGCAAAGCGAGCAUCACUUCUCAGUUUGGCCACCUUCCAUACGAUGGAGCAAUGUACCUGGUGGGCUGACUUAGGCUUGCAUCAGCACCCUGAACCAGAUUGCAUCUGCGGUCAUCUGGAACUGACUACAUGCCUGAACUGAUAAAAGAGGCUGUGGAAACACGGAUCUCUGGGGCGAGAUGCUUUUGCUGUAUCCUGUCUCUUUAUUGCCUGGUCCUCUGGAAGACGCAAGAGUGAGAAUCAGUGGUAUGUCCUUACCCUGCAAACAGUCUGAGAACUGCUUUGACAACCGAUGGAACAAAACAGUGUGAUGUGGCCACAGCUCAUGCUCUUUCUAACAAGUUACAAUUGCUCUGUGGUCCCAAGGAGAGCUGCUCGAACCUCCCUCUGAUCAACUGUGUUCUUUUCUCUGACUGUAACAGCAUUGUUUCUUUUGGCCACACAAUGUUCAUGCAAAAAUGCAGAUGAAAGCAGGUUUACUACUUUAAUCUUAAGGAAAAUCAAGGAAAGGUAAGGUAGGUCCCUGCGAGGAUGGAUGCCUCCUGUUGUGGAAUAGAGUGAAAUCCAGUGACAUGCUCCCUCCCAUUAGAUCUGAUACAACUGCUGGAUGAUCAAGAGUAGUGUCUAAAGAUCAACCAUAAACCUAUAGGUCAGGCAGUAAGACUGUGACUUGACAUUUCUCGUUGCAGUGUUUGAUAGUUUCAUGCCUUUAAUCUGCAUCACUGCAGGCAGUAUAUUAUUGAAUCCAAUGAGGUUUGAAUCCCACUAUGAAUUUCAUUGUUUUCCACAAGUGGAUUAUGAAGAGAAACCUUUGAUUUCUAUUAAUUAUGUCUCUGAAUGGAGGGCUAUUGUAUGUAUAUAUAUAUAUAUUUAAUAACAGGAAAUGUAGCAAACAUUUAUUUUUAUUAAAUUAAUAAACCAGAUAAACCUAUCAAA